AAUAGAUACCCGGGUAGUCCACGCCGUAAACUAUGGAUGCUAGCUGUUAGAAGUAUCGACCCUUCUAGUAGCGAAGCUAACGCGUUAAGCAUCCCGCCUGUGGAGUACGGUCGCAAGACUAAAACAUAAAGGAAUUGACGGGGACCCGCACAAGCGGUGGAGCGUGUUGUUUAAUUCGACGGUAAGCGAAGAACCUUACCCAGGUUUGACAUCCUUGGAAGCUUUGCGAAAGCAGAGUGUGCCUUCGGGAACCAAGUGACAGGUGAUGCAUGGCCGUCUUCAGCUCGUGUCGUGAGAUGUUUGGUUAAGUCCAUUAACGAGCGCAACCCUUAUAGUUAGUUGAAUUUUUCUAGCUAGACUGCCCUGGCAACAGGGAGGAAGGAGGGGAUGAUGUCAGGUCAGUAUCUCCCUUACAUCUGGGGCUACAAACACGCUACAAUGGCCGGUACAAAGGGCAGCCAACCCGCGAGGGGGAGCAAAUCCUAUCAAAGCCGGUCUCAGUUCGGAUUGCAGGCUGAAACUCGCCUGCAUGAAGUCGG
RNAcentral lists this ribosomal RNA (539 nucleotides) under uncultured bacterium. Its description in RNAcentral is "bacterial SSU rRNA". It matches the Rfam family "Bacterial small subunit ribosomal RNA", at positions 777 to 1329 of the family's 1533-position model. The record is from RNAcentral.